RNAcentral lists this ribosomal RNA (253 nucleotides) under uncultured bacterium. RNAcentral describes it as "partial 16S ribosomal RNA". It matches the Rfam family "Bacterial small subunit ribosomal RNA", at positions 524 to 776 of the family's 1533-position model. The record is from RNAcentral.
UACGUAGGGUCCGAGCGUUGUCCGGAAUUACUGGGCGUAAAGAGCUCGUAGGUGGUUUGUCGCGUUGUUCGUGAAAACUCACAGCUCAACUGUGGGCGUGCGGGCGAUACGGGCAGACUGGAGUACUGCAGGGGAGACUGGAAUUCCUGGUGUAGCGGUGGAAUGCGCAGAUAUCAGGAGGAACACCGGUGGUGAAGGCGGGUUUCUGGGCAGUAACUGACGCUGAGGAGCGAAAGCGUGGGGAGCGAACAGG